This 253-nucleotide ribosomal RNA is filed under the name uncultured bacterium. Its description in RNAcentral is "partial 16S ribosomal RNA". It matches the Rfam family "Bacterial small subunit ribosomal RNA", at positions 524 to 776 of the family's 1533-position model. The record is from RNAcentral.
UACGGGGGGGGCAAGCGUUGUUCGGAAUUACUGGGCGUAAAGGGCUCGUAGGCGGCCAACUAAGUCAGGGGUGAAAUCCCGGGGCUCAACCCCGGAACUGCCUUUGAUACUGGUAGUCUCGAGUCCGGAAGAGGUGAGUGGAAUUCCGAGUGUAGAGGUGAAAUUCGUAGAUAUUCGGAGGAACACCAGUGGCGAAGGCGGCUCACUGGUCCGGUACUGACGCUGAGGUGCGAAAGCGUGGGGAGCAAACAGG